This 143-nucleotide small RNA is filed under the name Pseudidiomarina planktonica. RNAcentral describes it as "Idiomarina planktonica isrN Hfq binding RNA". It matches the Rfam family "isrN Hfq binding RNA". The record is from Rfam by way of RNAcentral. Lineage: Bacteria; Pseudomonadati; Pseudomonadota; Gammaproteobacteria; Alteromonadales; Idiomarinaceae.
CAAUGACCUCGUCUUCUUUGCUUGUAUCAGGUUGAUAGGUGUAAACAGAGCGGCUCAGCUUUAGUACUUUGCAGCUGCGUCUUACACUCAAACCGUGCUCUGAUAUCAAGUAGUCGACGGUUUCGCGCUUGUCUGCCGGCGUC